GUAAACGAUGGAUACUAGGUGUGGGGGGACUGACCCCCUCCGUGCCGGAGUUAACACAAUAAGUAUCCCACCUGGGGAGUACGAUCGCAAGGUUGAAACUCAAAGGAAUUGACGGGGGCCCGCACAAGCGGUGGAUUAUGUGGUUUAAUUCGAAGCAACGCGAAGAACCUUACCAGGGCUUGACAUCCUACUAACGAAGCAGAGAUGCAUUAGGUACCCUUCGGGGGAAGUAGAGACAGGUGGUGCAUGGUUGUCGUCAGCUCGUGUCGUGAGAUGUUGGGUUAAGUCCCGCAACGAGCGCAACCCCUAUUGUUAGUUGCUACGCAAGAGCACUCUAGCGAGACUGCCGUUGACAAAACGGAGGAAGGUGGGGACGACGUCAAAUCAUCAUGCCCCUUAUGUCCUGGGCUACACACGUAAUACAAUGGCGGCCAACAGAGGGAAGCGAACCCGCGAGGGGGAACAAAUCCCCAAAAGCCGUCUCAGUUCGGAU
RNAcentral lists this ribosomal RNA (493 nucleotides) under uncultured bacterium. Its description in RNAcentral is "bacterial SSU rRNA". It matches the Rfam family "Bacterial small subunit ribosomal RNA", at positions 802 to 1298 of the family's 1533-position model. The record is from RNAcentral.